This 465-nucleotide ribosomal RNA is filed under the name Vreelandella stevensii. RNAcentral describes it as "partial 16S ribosomal RNA". It matches the Rfam family "Bacterial small subunit ribosomal RNA", at positions 338 to 795 of the family's 1533-position model. Lineage: Bacteria; Pseudomonadati; Pseudomonadota; Gammaproteobacteria; Oceanospirillales; Halomonadaceae. The record is from RNAcentral.
CCUACGGGAGGCUGCAGUGGGGAAUAUUGGACAAUGGGGGGAACCCUGAUCCAGCCAUGCCGCGUGUGUGAAGAAGGCCCUCGGGUUGUAAAGCACUUUCAGUGAGGAAGAACGCCUGGUGGUUAAUACCCAUCAGGAAAGACAUCACUCACAGAAGAAGCACCGGCUAACUCCGUGCCAGCAGCCGCGGUAAUACGGAGGGUGCGAGCGUUAAUCGGAAUUACUGGGCGUAAAGCGCGCGUAGGUGGCUUGAUAAGCCGGUUGUGAAAGCCCCGGGCUCAACCUGGGAACAGCAUCCGGAACUGUCAAGCUAGAGUGCAGGAGAGGAAGGUAGAAUUCCCGGUGUAGCGGUGAAAUGCGUAGAGAUCGGGAGGAAUACCAGUGGCGAAGGCGGCCUUCUGGACUGACACUGACACUGAGGUGCGAAAGCGUGGGUAGCAAACAGGAUUAGAUACCCCUGUAGUC